Molecule: transfer RNA, 76 nt
Filed under: Saccharimonas sp. (SeqCode)
Lineage: Bacteria; Candidatus Saccharimonadota; Candidatus Saccharimonadia; Saccharimonadales (SeqCode); Saccharimonadaceae (SeqCode)
Description: tRNA-Trp
Rfam family: tRNA
About the family: Transfer RNA (tRNA) molecules are approximately 80 nucleotides in length.
Source: RNAcentral
AGGGGUGUAGCUCAAUUGGUAGAGUAGCGGUCUCCAAAACCGUUGGUUGUAGGUUCGAGUCCUGUCACCCCUGCCA